UGAGGUUGGUGGAGGGGACAACAGGAGGAGAGUGAGGUGAUUUUGAGAUUUGAAGGUGGAGUAUCUAGAGUAGGCCAUGGAGGGGGAGAGAAUGAGAGAUUUGGGAAGUGAGGUAAAUAUGUGUAAUAGAGGAAGUAGUGCGUGUGGAAGUAGAAAGUUUAGGAAGAGAAAAGAGAGGUCGUAGACCGUGGAAAUGAAGUGUCGGAAUAGAGGUGUGGGGGUGUCUCUAUGUAGGACGAGGGGAUGUGUGGGGUAGCUGUGUGGUGUGAGGGUAUGGGUCGUAUAUAGGUUGGUAUAGCUGCUAUAAAUUUGGUAGUUGGCAAGGGAACAUUACAGGUGUGGGUAUGUUAAGUGUUAGUGCGUGCUUUAUGGGGAAAUGGAUGUAGUUUAGGUACAUAGGUUAAAAGUAUAAGAAAGCUUCAAGAUAAGGUGGGGGAGUAAGGAC
This 445-nucleotide long non-coding RNA is filed under the name Carica papaya (papaya). Its description in RNAcentral is "long non-coding RNA (CPAP_LNC014021)". Lineage: Eukaryota; Viridiplantae; Streptophyta; Magnoliopsida; Brassicales; Caricaceae. The record is from RNAcentral.